Molecule: ribosomal RNA, 440 nt
Filed under: uncultured bacterium
Lineage: Bacteria
Description: partial 16S ribosomal RNA
Rfam family: Bacterial small subunit ribosomal RNA
Source: RNAcentral
CCUACGGGCGGCAGCAGUGGGGAAUAUUGCACAAUGGGGGAAACCCUGAUGCAGCGACGCCGCGUGAGUGAUGAAGUAUUUCGGUAUGUAAAGCUCUAUCUGCAGGGAAGAUAAUGACGGUACCUGACUAAGAAGCCCCGGCUAAAUACGUGCCAGCAGCCGCGGUACUACGUAUGGAGCAAGCGUUAUCCGGAUUUACUGGGUGUAAAGGGAGCGCAGGCGGCAGGGCAAGUCUGAUGUGAAAGUCCAGGGCUCAACCCCCGGACUGCAUUGGAAACUGUCCGGCUAGAGUGCAGGAGAGGUAAGUGGAAUUCCUAGUGUAGCGGUGAAAUGCGUAGAUAUGAGGAAGAACACCAGUGGCGAAGGCGGCUUACUGGACUGUAACUGACGUUGAGGCUCGAAAGCGUGGGGAGCGAACAGGAUUAGAUACCCUAGUAGUC